ACUGAGUUUUCAACUCUCCAAACCAUGUGAACUUACCACUGCUUGCCUCGGUGGUUGGUCUUACGACUGACCCACCGGUGGACUACAAACUCUUGUUAAUUUUUUGGCAUUCUGAAUCAUAACUAAGAAUAAGUUA
This 136-nucleotide unclassified non-coding RNA is filed under the name soil metagenome. RNAcentral describes it as "partial internal transcribed spacer 1". The record is from RNAcentral.